AACGAACGCUGGCGGCAGGCUUAACACAUGCAAGUCGAGCGCAUCCUUCGGGGUGAGCGGCGGACGGGUGAGUAACGCGUGGGAACGUGCCCUCUUCUACGGAAUAGCCUCGGGAAACUGAGAGUAGUGCCGUAUACGCCCGCAAGGGGAAAGAUUUAUCGGAGGAGGAUCGGCCCGCGUUGGAUUAGGUAGUUGGUGGGGUAACGGCCUACCAAGCCGACGAUCCAUAGCUGGUUUGAGAGGAUGAUCAGCCACACUGGGACUGAGACACGGCCCAGACUCCUACGGGAGGCAGCAGUGGGGAAUCUUGGACAAUGGGGGCAACCCUGAUCCAGCCAUGCCGCGUGAUCGAUGAAGGCCUUAGGGUUGUAAAGAUCUUUCAGCUGGGAAGAUAAUGACGGUACCAGCAGAAGAAGCCCCGGCUAACUCCGUG
Molecule: ribosomal RNA, 433 nt
Filed under: uncultured bacterium
Lineage: Bacteria
Description: partial 16S ribosomal RNA
Rfam family: Bacterial small subunit ribosomal RNA
Source: RNAcentral